RNAcentral lists this long non-coding RNA (217 nucleotides) under Panax ginseng (ginseng). RNAcentral's name for it is "long non-coding RNA (PGIN_LNC014106)". The record is from RNAcentral. Lineage: Eukaryota; Viridiplantae; Streptophyta; Magnoliopsida; Apiales; Araliaceae.
UAGGAUCUGGCGAUCCUUUGUUGAUAUAACUGACCAUGGAAGAUAGCCGCGGUUCGCCUUUCGCCUAUUAGAGACAAUUGGUGAUACAUGUCUUGUACCCAUUGAUCUUCAUCCAGCUGAGCGUCUAUCAACACUCUGAGGGAUUCCAUUUCCACUUCUAUAGGGAGCACUUCUUCCAUCCCAUAGGUUAAUGCUUAGGGGGUUGCCCCAGUGGAAG